Molecule: transfer RNA, 91 nt
Filed under: Veillonella sp.
Lineage: Bacteria; Bacillati; Bacillota; Negativicutes; Veillonellales; Veillonellaceae
Description: tRNA-Ser
Rfam family: tRNA
About the family: Transfer RNA (tRNA) molecules are approximately 80 nucleotides in length. Their secondary structure includes four short double-helical elements and three loops (D, anti-codon, and T loops).
Source: RNAcentral
GGAGAAUUACUCAAGAGGCUGAAGAGGACGGUUUGCUAAAUCGUUAGGUCGGGUUACCGGCGCUAGGGUUCGAAUCCCUAAUUCUCCGCCA